This 442-nucleotide ribosomal RNA is filed under the name uncultured soil bacterium. RNAcentral describes it as "bacterial SSU rRNA". It matches the Rfam family "Bacterial small subunit ribosomal RNA", at positions 26 to 518 of the family's 1533-position model. The record is from RNAcentral.
AGAACGAACGCUGGCGGCAUGCCUAACACAUGCAAGUCGAACGAGACCUUCGGGUCUAGUGGCGCACGGGUGCGUAACGCGUGGGAAUCUGCCCUUGGGUUCGGGAUAACAGUUGGAAACGACUGCUAAUACCGGGUGAUGACUUCGGUCCAAAGAUUUAUCGCCCAGGGAUGAGCCCGCGUAGGAUUAGCUUGUUGGUGAGGUAAGAGCUCACCAAGGCGACGAUCCUUAGCUGGUCUGAGAGGAUGAUCAGCCACACUGGGACUGAGACACGGCCCAGACUCCUACGGGAGGCAGCAGUGGGGAAUAUUGGACAAUGGCGAAAGCCUGAUCCAGCAAUGCCGCGUGAGUGAUGAAGGCCUUAGGUUGUAAAGCUCUUUUACCGGGAUGAUAAUGACAGUACCGGAGAAUAAAGCCCGGCUAACUCCGUGCCAGCAGCCGC